This 253-nucleotide ribosomal RNA is filed under the name uncultured bacterium. RNAcentral describes it as "partial 16S ribosomal RNA". It matches the Rfam family "Bacterial small subunit ribosomal RNA", at positions 524 to 776 of the family's 1533-position model. The record is from RNAcentral.
UACGGGGGGGGCAAGCGUUGUUCGGAAUUACUGGGCGUAAAGGGCUCGUAGGUGGCCAACUAAGUCAGACGUGAAAUCCCUCGGCUUAACCGGGGAACUGCGUCUGAUACUGGAUGGCUGGAGUAUGGGAGAGGGAUGCGGAAUUCCAGGUGUAGCGGUGAAAUGCGUAGAUAUCGUAAGGAAGACCAGUGGCGAAGGCGGGUCUCUGGACAGUUCCUGACGCUGAUGCGCGAAAGCCAGGGGAGCGAACGGG